AGCAAUUUGUGGGAAUGUCUUCUUAGUGUAAUAGACAUAGUAUAUUAGGGUUUUAUCAUUUAAUAUAUUAUUUUUAUUACAAUUAAGAAUUCAAAACUUUUGAAUGUAAUUCUAGAUAAAAUAUUGAUAAUGACAAAAUUUUAUUUAUAUGUCUUGACCAAAUCUUGUGCCAGCAGUCGCGGCAACACAAGGAAGACAAGUGUUAUUCAUCUUAAAUCGGUUUAAAGGGUACCUAGACGGUAAAUUAAGCCUUAAAUGGUACGUUUUUACUAGAGUUAUAUAUGCGUGAGGAAUAUGUGAGUAUUACCAGAGUAGAGAUGCAAUUUUUUGAUACUGUUGAGACUGGUAAAGGCAAAAGCAAACCUUUAUAUAUUAACUGACGUUGAGGGACGAAGGCUUGGGGAGCGAAUAGGAUUAGAUACCCUAAUAGUCCAGGCAGAGAAUUAUGAAUGUCAUAGAAUAGAUAUA
Molecule: ribosomal RNA, 468 nt
Filed under: Marcelaria cumingii
Lineage: Eukaryota; Fungi; Ascomycota; Dothideomycetes; Trypetheliales; Trypetheliaceae
Description: mitochondrial SSU rRNA
Rfam family: Bacterial small subunit ribosomal RNA
Source: RNAcentral